GCCUGACCAAGGCCGGUUAGCCGUUAGAUACAGCCCAAAUGUAGAUAACUAAGGAGUGAAUACUGACAGGGUACAAAGUUACUUUGGAGUAAAGAAAAAUUGUUCGCAGACUAGAAGAUAGUGACUGUGAUAUUUUGAAAAUGGAAUUAACAUUGAGAACCUUACCUCGUGUUUUACACAAACCACAGACUGUGAAUUGCCCCAGAAUCAGCCUGUGUCACACACGCCUCUUUCAAAAUUGUGUGAGCAAAAAGUCAUCAAUGCCAGCUAAAUGGAGCACAAAGACAGUUAUUGUAGCUGAGAGGACUCUGUUUCAAAUGUUGCCUGUUGUUUACUGGCAGACAAACAGACAUAUGGCAGGGCACAGUAAAUUCUCUAACAUCAAACAUCGGAAAGAGGCGCAGGACAGUAAAAAGUCAGCACUGAUGGGACAGUAUGUCAAGCUAGCACAGUCAGCU
Molecule: long non-coding RNA, 458 nt
Organism: Magallana angulata
Lineage: Eukaryota; Metazoa; Mollusca; Bivalvia; Ostreida; Ostreidae
Exons: 3
Source: RefSeq, a predicted model, not a curated record